Cephalotus follicularis is the source of this 61-nucleotide regulatory RNA element. It matches the Rfam family "Ma3 gene ribosomal frameshift signal". The record is from Rfam. Lineage: Eukaryota; Viridiplantae; Streptophyta; Magnoliopsida; Oxalidales; Cephalotaceae.
GUGAAACGGGUCAUGGUCUUGGGUCAAGAGUUAACCCAUAGACCAAGGCCCAAAAAUCUAU